GAUGAACGCUGGCGGCGUGCCUAACACAUGCAAGUCGAACGGAGAUUACGGACGGAAGUUUUCGGAUGGAAGCCUGUAAUUCUUAGUGGCGGACGGGUGAGUAACGCGUGGGCAACCUGCCCUAUACAGGGGGAUAGCAGCUGGAAACGGCCGGUAAGACCGCAUAAGUCGGUUAAAUCGCAUGAUUUGAUCGGGAAAUGAGCAAUCAGGUAUAGGAUGGGCCCGCGUCCGAUUAGCCAGUUGGCAGGGUAAAAGCCUACCAAAGCGACGAUCGGUAGCCGGACUGAGAGGUCGGACGGCCACAUUGGGACUGAGACACGGCCCAAACUCCUACGGGAGGCAGCAGUGGGGGAUAUUGCACAAUGGAGGAAACUCUGAUGCAGCGACGCCGCGUGAGUGAAGAAGUAUUUCGGUAUGUAAAGCUCUAUCAGCAGGGAAGAUGAUGACGGUACCUGACUAA
Molecule: ribosomal RNA, 460 nt
Filed under: Catonella morbi
Lineage: Bacteria; Bacillati; Bacillota; Clostridia; Lachnospirales; Lachnospiraceae
Description: bacterial SSU rRNA
Rfam family: Bacterial small subunit ribosomal RNA
Source: RNAcentral